AGGACGAACGCUGGCGGCGUGCCUAACACAUGCAAGUCGAACGAGGUCCAACCGGUAGCAAUACUGGUGAAGAUCAAGUGGCGAACGGGUGAGUAGCACGUGAGCAACCUGCCCCGAAGACCGGGACAACACCGGGAAACCGGUGCUAAUACCGGAUACCCCCACCGAGUCGCAUGGCUUGGUGAGGAAAUGGAUUCCGCUUCGGGAGGGGCUCGCGGCCUAUCAGCUAGUUGGUGAGGUAACGGCUCACCAAGGCUUCGACGGGUAGCUGGUCUGAGAGGACGAUCAGCCACACUGGGACUGAGACACGGCCCAGACUCCUACGGGAGGCAGCAGUGGGGAAUCUUGCACAAUGGGCGAAAGCCUGAUGCAGCAACGCCGCGUGAGGGACGAAGGCUUUCUGAGUUGUAAACCUCUUCCAGCAGGGACGAUUGUGACGGUACCUGCAGAAGAACGCCCCGGCAACUACGUGCCAGCAGCCGC
This 483-nucleotide ribosomal RNA is filed under the name uncultured bacterium. RNAcentral describes it as "SSU rRNA". It matches the Rfam family "Bacterial small subunit ribosomal RNA", at positions 26 to 518 of the family's 1533-position model. The record is from RNAcentral.